AAUAGCCUGUUCCUUUUCAUUGACCUUAUUUCUUGUGCUCAUUGAUUCUGAAGCUGUCAUAGGCCAGAACAACUCCCUUCUUUCCCCCUGGGCACCAUGAAACAAGUAUCCGCCCCAGAAAAUGAGAAAGAGAAACAACUCAGGGAUUCGGUGCAAAGAUAUCAGAAUAAAUUGGCAGAACAGCAGUCAUGGAACUCUCACCCUGUGCCAGCAAGUAAGACCACAGAAUUCCUCCCCAGCUCUCAAGCUUCAGCUCCAAAGGAAUAUGCAAAAUCCAGGGCAGUGCCUCAAAGAGACUCUUCAGAAGGAGAUACCUGCUCAUCCUCAGUGGAUUGGAGCAGCCAUUUGAGCCAGAAAAGGAGGAGGUCAAGGUCAGGCUCAACCUCAAGUCAUGUUUUGGAGGGUAAAAUUCCAGAAACAACUGUGAGGAAGAAAUUGAAAGUGAAGCAGUCAAGAAGAC
Molecule: long non-coding RNA, 460 nt
Filed under: Vombatus ursinus (common wombat)
Lineage: Eukaryota; Metazoa; Chordata; Mammalia; Diprotodontia; Vombatidae
Description: lncRNA (ENSVURG00010013881.1)
Source: RNAcentral